This 273-nucleotide long non-coding RNA is filed under the name Homo sapiens (human). RNAcentral describes it as "HSALNT0338623". Lineage: Eukaryota; Metazoa; Chordata; Mammalia; Primates; Hominidae. The record is from RNAcentral.
ACUGAGGUCUGAACCACCACAGGACAUGAACGCAGGGGAGCGACUGAGGAGCGUGGAGGUCAGUUCCUCUGGGGUGUGGAGGACGUGACGGCGUUUACUUGAGGUAAACCUCGCAAGGGGGAGAAGUUUGCUCAAAAAGUCUUUAAAUAACAAAUGAGGGAGAUUCUAUUUUAUUCCAUAAGCAAUGGAUAGGCAGCCAAGUUUUCUUGAGAAAAAAUAGACACAAUUUGAGCAAUUCUAGCAUAUGGUUAGAAAUUUAUGUCUGGCACAAAA